CCUGGCUCAGGAUGAACGCUGGCGGUAUGCUUAACACAUGCAAGUCGAACGGGCUCUUUCGGGGGCAAGUGGCGGACGGGUGAGUAACGCGUGAGAAUCUGGCUCUAGGUUCGGGACAACCACUGGAAACGGUGGCUAAUACCGGAUGUGCCGAGAGGUGAAAGGUUAACUGCCUGGAGAUGAGCUCGCGUCUGAUUAGCUAGUUGGUGGUGUAAGGGACUACCAAGGCGACGAUCAGUAGCUGGUCUGAGAGGAUGAUCAGCCACACUGGAACUGAGACACGGUCCAGACUCCUACGGGAGGCAGCAGUGGGGAAUUUUCCGCAAUGGGCGAAAGCCUGACGGAGCAAUACCGCGUGAGGGAGGAAGGCUCUUGGGUUGUAAACCUCUUUUCUCAGGGAAUAAGCAAGUGAAGGUACCUGAGGAAUCAGCAUCGGCUAACUCCGUGCCAGCAGCCGCGGUAAUACGGAGGAUGCAAGCGUUAUCCGGAAUGAUUGGGCGUAAAGCGUCCGUAGGUAGCAGUGUGUGUCUAUUGUUAAAGAGUUUGGCUUAACCAAAUAAAGGCGGUAGAAACUACACAGCUAGAGUGCGUUCGGGGCAGAGGGAAUUCCUGGUGUAGCGGUGAAAUGCGUAGAGAUCAGGAAGAACACCGGUGGCGAAAGCGCUCUGCUAGGCCGCAACUGACACUGAGGGACGAAAGCUAGGGGAGCGAAUGGGAUUAGAUACCCCAGUAGUCCUAGCCGUAAACGAUGGAUACUAGGCGUUGAGAGUAUCGACCCUCUCAGUGCCGUAGCUAACG
Molecule: ribosomal RNA, 798 nt
Filed under: Neowestiellopsis sp. SGR17
Lineage: Bacteria; Bacillati; Cyanobacteriota; Cyanophyceae; Nostocales; Hapalosiphonaceae
Also listed under: 1 other name
Description: bacterial SSU rRNA
Rfam family: Bacterial small subunit ribosomal RNA
Source: RNAcentral